Molecule: non-coding RNA, 652 nt
Organism: Triticum urartu
Lineage: Eukaryota; Viridiplantae; Streptophyta; Magnoliopsida; Poales; Poaceae
Source: RefSeq, a predicted model, not a curated record
GAUGAGCUCGUGUCGAGCAUCCACGACACCCCGAGAUGGAUAAGACCGCCCCCCUCCUCCCCGAAACCCUAGCAUCCCCUUUUUCUUCCCUCUCGCGCCUCUGCCUCUCCUGCUCGACGCCCGUGCAUUGCCGUCACCGCCGCAUCAUCGUUACCGUCCUCUGGGUCAUCCCCGAGCUGCUACAAGGUGGCCACAAGCUUCCCCAACCUCGUCUCCUUCACCUAUGCCUCUGGAUCGAAGCCAAAGGGCCUUGUAUGCUCCACAUCGAGCCGCCAUCCCCAUCACAGCCGCCACGGCCGUCGCCGUCGAUCCCCACCUCCGGCACCCCCUCGACCUGUUCGAGCACGGCCCCGACCUCCUCCCAAUGACGGAUCCCAGGAGCCAGACGACACCACUGAUGACUACUGCUACCCCGAGGGUGCGUACUACUACGUGACGGCCGCUGACGACUUGGAGUAGUUAGGAGGCUCCUAGGCAGGAGGCCUUGCCUUUUCGAUCGUUGUUGCUUUUGUGCUAGCCUUCUUAAGGCAAACUUGUUUAACUUAUGUUUGUACUCAGAUAUUGUUGCUUCCGCUGACUCUUAUGUAUUCGAGCUUGUGUACUCGAGCCCUCGAGGCCCCUGGCUUGUAAUAUAAAGCUUGUAUUAUUUUAA